This 85-nucleotide transfer RNA is filed under the name Escherichia coli. RNAcentral's name for it is "tRNA-Tyr". It matches the Rfam family "tRNA". Rfam says of the family: Transfer RNA (tRNA) molecules are approximately 80 nucleotides in length. Their secondary structure includes four short double-helical elements and three loops (D, anti-codon, and T loops). The record is from RNAcentral. Lineage: Bacteria; Pseudomonadati; Pseudomonadota; Gammaproteobacteria; Enterobacterales; Enterobacteriaceae.
GGUGGGGUUCCCGAGCGGCCAAAGGGAGCAGACUGUAAAUCUGCCGUCAUCGACUUCGAAGGUUCGAAUCCUUCCGCCACCACCA